CAGCGUCGGCAGAGCAGGCUGCAGCCUGCAGGCGACCGCGACGGUUCUUGUGCAUUUUUUUAACCGCGUCGGGCAUAUUUCAACAGAGAGUUAUUAACCUGAAAUGGCAGGCUAUAAUGGACAUGGAGAACAAAAGAGAAGAAGCCAUGUUGAUUGUGUGCCCACUCUGAUUAUAUGUAUAUCCAUUCUCUGUCCAUUCUGUGUGCCCCUUUAUAUUUGAACUUUGAUAAAUCUUUGCACCUACAUCUGUAUAACAACCCAUUGAUAAUUGCUUUCAACCAUAUUCAUACACCUAGCUUCCUUCAGGCAUUUCUUUAUGUACACUACUCUCACAUCUAAGUAUUUUGUUGACGCCGUGCAAUCUAAUGGAUAUUUGCUACGGCAAACAAAUUUAAAAAGCGGAAGCCAUCGAGAAAAUGAAGUGCCAACUAGACCUCCUCAUAAGUUGUUUAAUUGAUUAUCUAAACCUUAUUUACUAAUUCUGGAUAGAUAAGUUAGCUAUAUGAAAUGUGCUUCUAGAUCCUCCAUGUUCCAGUAAUGGCACAAAUUCAUUUAUAUUAUACCUAAUGUGACUUUUUUGUUUGCGAUGAAAACUACAGAGAGAUGAUAGGUAGAACCACCUCUAUUCACCUUUGCACUUUCUUGAAAAGAAGCAAUUCAAACAGUCCUGCUCAAAGAUGUGUCAGACCAUCUGGGAAACACACAUAUCGAGAGACUACA
Long non-coding RNA from Lolium rigidum, 720 nucleotides. RefSeq lists it as uncharacterized. Lineage: Eukaryota; Viridiplantae; Streptophyta; Magnoliopsida; Poales; Poaceae. The transcript has 3 exons. The record is from RefSeq and is a predicted model, not a curated record.